CAGCCGCCGCGGUAAUACGGAGGGGGCUAGCGUUGUUCGGAAUUACUGGGCGUAAAGCGCACGUAGGCGGCUUGGUAAGUUAGAGGUGAAAGCCUGGAGCUCAACUCCAGAAUUGCCUUUAAGACUGCCGAGCUAGCAGGUGAGAGAGGUAAGUGGAAUUCCGAGUGUAGAGGUGAAAUUCGUAGAUAUUCGGAAGAACACCAGUGGCGAAGGCGGCUUACUGGCUCAUACUGGACGCUGAGGUGCGAAAGCGUGGGGAGCAAACAGGAUUAGAUACCCCGGUAGUCCCUGUCUCUUAUAC
RNAcentral lists this ribosomal RNA (301 nucleotides) under uncultured bacterium. Its description in RNAcentral is "partial 16S ribosomal RNA". It matches the Rfam family "Bacterial small subunit ribosomal RNA", at positions 509 to 807 of the family's 1533-position model. The record is from RNAcentral.